UCCAGACUCCUACGGGAGGCAGCAGUGAGGAAUAUUGGUCAAUGGGCGAGAGCCUGAACCAGCCAAGUCGCGUGAGGGAAGACGGUCCUAUGGAUUGUAAACCUCUUUUGCCGGGGAGCAAAAAGCGGUACGUGUACCGCAUCGAGAGUACCCGGAGAAAAAGCAUCGGCUAACUCCGUGCCAGCAGCCGCGGUAAUACGGAGGAUGCGAGCGUUAUCCGGAUUUAUUGGGUGUAAAGGGUGCGUAGACGGGAAUGCAAGUUGGUUGUGAAAUCCCUCGGCUUAACUGAGGAACUGCAACCAAAACUACAUUUCUUGAGUGCUGGAGAGGAAAGUGGAAUUCCUAGUGUAGCGGUGAAAUGCGUAGAUAUUAGGAGGAACACCAGUGGCGAAGGCGACUUUCUGGACAGUAACUGACGUUGAGGCACGAAAGUGUGGGGAGCAAACAGGAUUAGAUACCCGAGUACG
RNAcentral lists this ribosomal RNA (467 nucleotides) under uncultured bacterium. Its description in RNAcentral is "bacterial SSU rRNA". It matches the Rfam family "Bacterial small subunit ribosomal RNA", at positions 330 to 793 of the family's 1533-position model. The record is from RNAcentral.